This 419-nucleotide ribosomal RNA is filed under the name bacterium. RNAcentral's name for it is "partial 16S ribosomal RNA". It matches the Rfam family "Bacterial small subunit ribosomal RNA", at positions 355 to 776 of the family's 1533-position model. The record is from RNAcentral.
UGGGGGAUAUUGCACAAUGGGCGAAAGCCUGAUGCAGCGACGCCGCGUGGGGGAUGAAGGCCUUCGGGUUGUAAACUUCUUUUGCUCUGAACAAGGCAUGCUAAUGGGUGUGUUGAGUGUAGGGGUUGAUUAGCGCCGGCUAACUACGUGCCAUCAGCCGCGGUAAUACGUAGGGCGCGAGCGUUGUCCGGAAUUAUUGGGCGUAAAGGGCUUGUAGGUGGCUGGUUGCGUCUGUCGUGAAAGCUCAUGGCUUAACUGUGGGUUUGCGGUGGGUACGGGCUGGCUUGAGUGCAGUAGGGGAGGCUGGAAUUCCUGGUGUAGCGGUGGAAUGCGCAGAUAUCAGGAGGAAUACCGGUGGCGAAGGCGGGUCUCUGGGCUGUUACUGACACUGAGGAGCGAAAGCAUGGGGAGCGAACAGG